UUGACCUCGGAUCAGGUAGGGAUACCCGCUGAACUAAGCAUAUCA
RNAcentral lists this ribosomal RNA (45 nucleotides) under Ophiocordyceps sinensis. Its description in RNAcentral is "partial 28S ribosomal RNA". Lineage: Eukaryota; Fungi; Ascomycota; Sordariomycetes; Hypocreales; Ophiocordycipitaceae. The record is from RNAcentral. RNAcentral also lists the same sequence under 1 other name.